RNAcentral lists this ribosomal RNA (579 nucleotides) under Aureimonas sp. RNAcentral describes it as "bacterial SSU rRNA". It matches the Rfam family "Bacterial small subunit ribosomal RNA", at positions 100 to 714 of the family's 1533-position model. The record is from RNAcentral. Lineage: Bacteria; Pseudomonadati; Pseudomonadota; Alphaproteobacteria; Hyphomicrobiales; Aurantimonadaceae.
AGACGGGUGAGUAACGCGUGGGAAUCUACCCUUCUCUACGGGAUAGCUCUGGGAAACUGGAAUUAAUACCGUAUACGUCCUGAGGGAGAAAGAUUUAUCGGGGAAGGAUGAGCCCGCGUUGGAUUAGCUAGUUGGUGGGGUAAAGGCCUACCAAGGCGACGAUCCAUAGCUGGUCUAAGAGGAUGAUCAGCCACAUUGGGACUGAGACACGGCCCAAACUCCUACGGGAGGCAGCAGUGGGGAAUAUUGGACAAUGGGCGCAAGCCUGAUCCAGCCAUGCCGCGUGAGUGAUGAAGGCCCUAGGGUUGUAAAGCUCUUUCAGUGGGGACGAUAAUGACGGUACCCACAGAAGAAGCCCCGGCUAACUUCGUGCCAGCAGCCGCGGUAAUACGAAGGGGGCUAGCGUUGUUCGGAAUUACUGGGCGUAAAGCGCACGUAGGCGGAUAUUUAAGUCAGGGGUGAAAUCCCGGGGCUCAACCCCGGAACUGCCUUUGAUACUGGGUAUCUUGAGUUCGGAAGAGGUAAGUGGAAUUGCGAGUGUAGAGGUGAAAUUCGUAGAUAUUCGCAGGAACACCAGUG